UACAUAGGCCCCAAGCGUUAUCCGGAAUUACUGGGUGUAAAGCGUCUGUAGGCGGGAAUAUAAGUCUUCCAUGAAAGACCGGAGCUCAACUCCGUGUUUGUGGGAGAUACUGUAUUUCUAGAAUUAGGGAGAGGGAAGCGGAACGAUAUGAGUAGGGGUGCAAUCCGUUGAUACAUAUCAGAACACCAAAAGCGAAGGCAGCUUCCUGGAACUAUAUUGACGCUGAGAGACGAAAGCGUGGGGAGCGAAAAGG
Molecule: ribosomal RNA, 253 nt
Filed under: uncultured bacterium
Lineage: Bacteria
Description: partial 16S ribosomal RNA
Rfam family: Bacterial small subunit ribosomal RNA
Source: RNAcentral